This 274-nucleotide ribosomal RNA is filed under the name uncultured bacterium. RNAcentral describes it as "partial 16S ribosomal RNA". It matches the Rfam family "Bacterial small subunit ribosomal RNA", at positions 523 to 796 of the family's 1533-position model. The record is from RNAcentral.
AUACGGAGGGUGCAAGCGUUGUUCGGAAUUACUGGGCGUAAAGCGCGCGUAGGCGGUCUGUUAUGUCAGAUGUGAAAGUCCUCGGCUCAACCGGGGAAGUGCAUUUGAAACUGGCAGACUUGAGUACUGGAGGGGGUGGUGGAAUUCCCGGUGUAGAGGUGAAAUUCGUAGAUAUCGGGAGGAAUACCGGUGGCGAAGGCGACCACCUGGCCAGAUACUGACGCUGAGGUGCGAAAGCGUGGGGAGCAAACAGGAUUAGAAACCCGGGUAGUCC